UGGCACUCUGCUGUCAGUCUUUUGAGAAUCCAAUAACAUAGCCUGCAUAGAGCACCUGGCAUGAAUGGGCUGAUCUUAGACCCAACUUUCUUUCUCUUAGUCCAACUUUCUUUCUGUUCUCUCUAGAGAGAAUCCAUGCCCUCAGGUUGGCUUUACCUGCUCCAUGUCCUCCUUUCUUUGCAUCUCUGCACAUCAGACAGCAGCAGUGGGAAAAAGGCCACUGAUAACAAGUCACCAAGCUGGUACCUAUGGAGUGUGGGUAAGUAACAGACACUCUCUGAAGAAAAUCUGAGUAACUAUUCUGCAAAAUGAUGACAAUAAAAGCCAUUACCAUAUACUUUUAAACAUUUUCUCUACAUAUCUC
RNAcentral lists this long non-coding RNA (364 nucleotides) under Chinchilla lanigera (long-tailed chinchilla). Its description in RNAcentral is "lncRNA (ENSCLAG00000029152.1)". Lineage: Eukaryota; Metazoa; Chordata; Mammalia; Rodentia; Chinchillidae. The record is from RNAcentral.